Molecule: ribosomal RNA, 253 nt
Filed under: uncultured bacterium
Lineage: Bacteria
Description: partial 16S ribosomal RNA
Rfam family: Bacterial small subunit ribosomal RNA
Source: RNAcentral
UACGAAGGGGGCGAGCGUUGUUCGGAUUUACUGGGCGUAAAGGGCGCGUAGGCGGCCCUCCUAGUCGCGUGUGAAAUCCCCGGGCUUAACCUGGGAAUGGCAUUUGGGACUGCAAGGCUUGAGUGCGGCAGAGGAGACUGGAAUUCCUGGUGUAGCGGUGAAAUGCGCAGAUAUCAGGAGGAACACCAACGGCGAAGGCAGCUCUCUGGGACGUUACUGAGCUGAGACGCGAAAGCGUGGGGGAGCAAACAGG